Molecule: ribosomal RNA, 465 nt
Filed under: Vreelandella stevensii
Lineage: Bacteria; Pseudomonadati; Pseudomonadota; Gammaproteobacteria; Oceanospirillales; Halomonadaceae
Description: partial 16S ribosomal RNA
Rfam family: Bacterial small subunit ribosomal RNA
Source: RNAcentral
CCUACGGGCGGCUGCAGUGGGGAAUAUUGGACAAUGGGGGCAACCCUGAUCCAGCCAUGCCGCGUGUGUGAAGAAGGCCCUCGGGUUGUAAAGCACUUUCAGUGAGGAAGAACGCCUGGUGGUUAAUACCCAUCAGGAAAGACAUCACUCACAGAAGAAGCACCGGCUAACUCCGUGCCAGCAGCCGCGGUAAUACGGAGGGUGCGAGCGUUAAUCGGAAUUACUGGGCGUAAAGCGCGCGUAGGUGGCUUGAUAAGCCGGUUGUGAAAGCCCCGGGCUCAACCUGGGAACGGCAUCCGGAACUGUCAAGCUAGAGUGCAGGAGAGGAAGGUAGAAUUCCCGGUUUAGCGGUGAAAUGCGUAGAGAUCGGGAGGAAUACCAGUGGCGAAGGCGGCCUUCUGGACUGACACUGACACUGAGGUGCGAAAUCGUGGGUAGCAAACAGGAUUAGAUACCCGAGUAGUC